This is a long non-coding RNA of Ctenopharyngodon idella (grass carp), 3776 nucleotides long. RefSeq lists it as uncharacterized. NCBI's taxonomy places the organism in Eukaryota, Metazoa, Chordata, Actinopteri, Cypriniformes, Xenocyprididae. The transcript has 3 exons. The record is from RefSeq and is a predicted model, not a curated record.
UAUAAUAAACAACAUUAUUCACUGAGGCUGCUGCAUAUCACAUAAUAGAUUAUAGCUUCUGACUGAUUGCAUACAAUUUAAAGAAUGUUGACCAAAUCAUUGGCUUGUUUACAGUUUUGAGCUUCAUAACUGUUUUAUUGUUUAAAGUGGAUCUAUAAUGCCCCUUUCAUAAGAUGUAAUAUAAGUCUCUGGUGUCUCCAGAAUGUGUGUGUGAAGUUUCAGUUCAAAAUACCCCACAGAUCAUUUAUUAUAGCUUGUCAAAUUUGCCCCUAUUUGGGUGUGAGCAAAAACACGCCGUUUUUGUGUGUGUCCCUUUAAAUGCAAAUGAGCUGCUGCUCCCGCCCCCUUUCCAGAAGAAGGCGGAGCUUUAACAGCUUGCGCUUCGGUUGCUCAACAACAACAAAGCUGGAGAAUCCAAAAACCACUAGGCCAGUGUUAUAUAUUUUGUUUACUUGAGCACUUACAAUAUCCCAAAUGUUUCCAACUAUUUGUAAAUCGUGAGAAAAUUACAAUUUUAACCAAGGCUCCGGGACGUGUGAGGAGUCGCCUGUCAAUUGCGUUAUACCCGCGUUACCCUCGGUUUCUGGUUUUAUUUUGUAGAAACCAUGGAAACACCAAAGACUCUUUAAUAUUUACAUGUUUUAAUAGACAAGGGAACAACUGUUUUGAUAUAUUUAUAGACAGAAAACAACCGCAGCUGCUGAGUGAACGCACAGGGUAAUGUUAUAACAUCAUUUUCAACACUCUCAAAUGUAUCUAAUAUGAUAAACAGAGCUGUUACCUCAUACUCAUGACCGGAAAAGCGGAAGCAGCGCCGGUGACUGUGGCGUAAUAAAAGUCCCGCUGCUCGUGAGGCGUGUGUUGCGCAAUCGCUCCAGCUCCUCAUUCAGCUCCCACAACACUCGCUCCUGCUCUGCUUCAUACUACAGUAACGUUAAUAAUCGCAUCCAUGAAUAUGAUUUCUUCCCGAGUCCUAUCCCGAUUCUUUUCCACCGGCUGUUAAGACCACAUGUCCCAAAAUUCUGCGCUCAAACUUGCCGUCAUCAAGCUACGCCUUUGUUUUGAAUAGACCUCUAGCGACCUCUAGCGGACAGAAAUCUUACAUACUGCACUUUUAAUAUGGGGAAUUUUGUGUUUUGGUGCAUUGAAAAAAAUUGAUCUUAUGUCUGUUAUUCUUUUCUCUGACAUUUUAUCUGGCCAACAACACAAAGCGAUAGUUGUUUAAAUAUGAGUUAGAUUCAUAGGUUCACCACGCGGUCAUGUUAUAAUUAUUAAACUAUCUUGCGUUCCCCAUGUAGUAUUUUAGGUUUUGUCUGGGACAGAGAAUGUCAGCAAGCCACUUAACAUCAUAUUUGAGCAAAACCAACACAACGAUAGAUCAACAAUAUUAAUAUCAGUUCACACACAGGCUUAUCGCCGUGUCAGUUGUAGUGGGUGACUUAUAACAAGCUGCGGUAUUAAACAAGCUACCAAACAAUAACAGCUAACAUAGUGGACUCAUGGAAAAAUACAUCAGUUAUCAUCAUUUUUUGACAUGACUAAUUUAUUAAUGACUCAGCAUCAUCUGUAUUAAAGAGAAACAAACCACUUCAUCCAAUGUUUAAAGUAUUGGACCAUCAAAAUGAAGUGUUACUGAGAAUUUUUAUGCAAUACAGUUUAUAGACUGAAAGAAAAUGUUGUUUCACAAGAUAAAGCAAGUUACAUGGUGAAAGAUUAUGAAAACAAACAUUGUGCUGACAGUGGACGCUUGCUGAAUACAAAUGAAACUGAAACUAAUACUGCAUCACAUGCUCAUGCUGUAUCAGUUCCUGUUAAAUCAUACAUUAAUUUUGUAGCAGGUCGAGCACAUUCAAAAUGAAAUAUUAUAUCUAUUUAUUAGAUAAAGGCAGCAAUAUAGAUGUAUCUGUGGCGAACUCAAAGGAGGAAUUCAAGAACAUGAGAGUUGAAGAAUUAGAACUCAAAAUCAAUGUCUUCAUUUGUCCUAGUCUACCUUGUCCACUUCUCUACAAAGGCAAGCGACUAGACAGAAAUCGGACACUUGGUUCUUAUGGCAUUAAACACAAGGAUGUUAUUUGCAAAGAAUAUCGAAACAGUGAUCAGGAUCUCUACGGUGUGCUUUCACAUAAAUCUAAAGAGAAAGAGAAAGACAAGACUCAGUCUAUGGAUAAUCUGGCUCUAAUGCAGCAGACUCAACCUGAACCCAAUAAAUCCUGUUGCAUACUGUAGUUUCAUCAAAACAUUGGUUCACUUCAUAAUUGUGUUAUUGUUGAUCUGUUAUUGUUAUUGAUGUCUGACUGAUGAACACAUGAACAUGCUCUCUAUGAGACUCACGCUGUAUGAUUGACAUUUCUCUUCUGUCCUGAGCUCUAACAGAGGAACGUGCACAAAUUUUGUUUACGAUGAAAUUGUCACUGUUUUUAUCUAGAAAAAACUGACAGAAAUGAACUAUUAUCCCACAGAUCCCCUACAUAAUAUAAAAGUAAACUUUAUUAUGAUGAUUGUUGAUCCUUCACACAAGUACAGAUUGAAGACACGACAUCAUUCGGUUUCUGAUGGAUCUUUUGUUGUUCUGCUCCACAUCAGGUAUCGCAAUUUUAAGACCAUGCAAACGAAGAUACCCUCCACCUGUAGAUGAACAUGUAGGAGCCAAACAAAAAGAUGAAGUUGAAAUCAUUCCCAGAUCCUGCUCUAUGGAUAAUCUAUUAUGUGAUAUGCAGCAGCCUCACUGAAUAAUGUUGCUUAUUGUAGUUCAGUCUCACAUAAUCCUCAUAAAUAUAUUGAUCGUGUGAUGUGAUCAGGUAUAGUUCAGAAGUGUUUGAGUGAAUUUCUAAUGGACAGUAGAUCAGAUCUCAUCAACACACGUGUGUAUCUGAACUGAGAUCAGAAUAUCAAGCUUCAGUUCACAGAUUCACACUGUCUGAGGAAAUCCUCUGAACCUCUCAAACUCUUAUUAUUCACUCUUCAACAUCGACUGCAGACUGUAGCUGGUUUCUUUUUAGUACAAAACCACCUUACAGACAUUCAAUACUAAGUAAACAAAGUAGGGUAUCAUGAGAAUACCAGUUUACUGUGUUUAAAAUUACACACUUUAAAGUGUGAUAGAUUUUCUCCUACGCACCAGACUCAAGUCUCUCAAACGUCUACAGUCGACGCUUCAUUAACAAACUCUAGCGCAUCUCCAGUCAACGUCUUGACCCUUUUUGAACACUAUCAUUUGGGAAUAAGGUCUCUUAUUGCUGCGCAGCAGAAACCAGACAGACUCCAGACUAUGCUUUAUAAUAUGCUGUAGUCACGGCCGGAGGACCUCGUGUCAAUCACAGAGAAUCCCAAGAAAACAACAGUUUAUAAAGGAUAGAAGCAUUAUGAAUAUGAUUGGUUCUGGGUCUGAUAAGCCUAGGGCUUCAAACGGGUUGAGUAUUAUACUGAAAUUUUGUUUUGUUCAUUCUGUUAUUGAUUUGUACAUAUUAUUGUGUUUUUUCUUCUUUUAAUAGUUUGAGUUCGAAAUUAAGAUUUCAUUAAUUCUUUCAUAAAAGUGUGUAUAAAGGAUAUAUAUUUCUAUAUAAAGGAUCAAUUUAUAGUUUUAAAAGUGACUAAAUGCAUGUUUUCUCUCUGGAAGAGCUUUUAUAUUCAACUAAACUACAUAUAUUGUGUUAUUUUAGUGCAGGUACAUGAAUUGAGACGCACCUACUUUGUGUUUAUAUAAAAAUGAACAUAACUGAACCUGUAGGUCUUUAUUACCAUUAAACUGAAUAAAAAUUAUAACUACUUUAACCUCA